GCCCCGAUAGUAUAGUGGCCAAGUACGCUGCCCUCUCACGGCAGUAACCCGAGUUCGAAUCUCGGCCGGGGCG
RNAcentral lists this transfer RNA (73 nucleotides) under archaeon. RNAcentral describes it as "tRNA-Glu". It matches the Rfam family "tRNA". Rfam says of the family: Transfer RNA (tRNA) molecules are approximately 80 nucleotides in length. Their secondary structure includes four short double-helical elements and three loops (D, anti-codon, and T loops). Further hydrogen bonds mediate the characteristic L-shaped molecular structure. tRNAs have two regions of fundamental functional importance: the anti-codon, which is responsible for specific mRNA codon recognition, and the 3' end, to which the tRNAs corresponding amino acid is attached (by aminoacyl-tRNA synthetases). tRNAs cope with the degeneracy of the genetic code in two manners: having more than one tRNA (with a specific anti-codon) for a particular amino acid; and 'wobble' base-pairing, i.e. permitting non-standard base-pairing at the 3rd anti-codon position. The record is from RNAcentral. RNAcentral also lists the same sequence under 1 other name.